Molecule: non-coding RNA, 74 nt
Organism: Tachyglossus aculeatus (Australian echidna)
Lineage: Eukaryota; Metazoa; Chordata; Mammalia; Monotremata; Tachyglossidae
Source: the annotation of a RefSeq genome assembly
GGCCAGUUAGCUCAGGUGGUUAGAGCGUGGUGCUAAUAACGCCAAGGUCGCGGGUUCAAUUGCUGUACGGGCCA